CUGAAAGGUUGGAGCAUCAAAGCAGCACAUAAUUUAUGUGUAAAAUCCACAUUGACAUCUAUUUUAGCUGCAAGAAAAGACCAACUAAUUCAAGAAAGAUAUACAAAAAUCAAAUCUUUAUAUUAUAAAGCACAAAAAAGAACUAUCAGCACCCAAUAUGGACAACCAAAAACACAGUAUAGCACAAUUCAAAAUAAAUCAAUCUUUUUUUUUGCGAGAAAUGUAUGCAAAAAAGUAAGUUUCAACCUUUGCAAUCAUAAAGCACAAAAAAAACUACAGGUACCCAUUAUUGGCACCCAAAAAAAGCACUUAAUAGAAUACAAAGUUUAGAGAGUUAUGAGAUAAUAAAUUUGGGUUUUAUUUGCGAAAUGUAGGGGGGAAAGCUUAUUUCCAAUACAUAAAGCACAAACCAAAACUAUAGGUACCCAAAAAACACUUCAUAAAACACAAAAUUUCAGAGGUUAUGAGAUAAAUUCAAGAAAAGUAUAUAAAAAUUCAAUCUUCACAAUUUUAAGCGCACAGACCAAAAGUAUCAGCACCCGAAAACACAGUUGCGUAGCACAAUUCAAGAGAAAAUUGUCAUUCUUUAGUAAGAGAAUGUAAGGGAAAACAAAUCAAUCUUCGCAAUCAUAAAGCACAAACUAAAACUAUAGGUACCCAUUAUUAAAAAGACUUCAUACAACACAAAAUUUCAAAGAGUUAAUAAACAUGGGUUUUAUUAGAGAAAUGGGAGAGAAAAAGACUCUACCUUUUCCAGCAUGAAUGCUUUUCUGAGCACCCAUUAGUCCAUUAGUGAGUUGAGUUUCCCACCAUUCAAGAAUUGAUUGAAACUUGUGAGUACUAAAUAAGUCUUGUUGUAUUGAGUGGCUCUAUGUUUUUUGUGUUCAGUUUCUUUGUAAUAUAAAAUAUAAAGGAAUAUAAAGAAAAGAGAAGAAGAGGGAAAAUGGGAAAUGGGAAUCGGGGAGCUGUCAAGUUAUCUCUUGCUUUCUGGAUUGGCUUACGCCACUAUGCCUGCCCUUCCC
This 1022-nucleotide long non-coding RNA is filed under the name Nicotiana tabacum (common tobacco). RNAcentral describes it as "long non-coding RNA (NTAB_LNC002106)". The record is from RNAcentral. Lineage: Eukaryota; Viridiplantae; Streptophyta; Magnoliopsida; Solanales; Solanaceae.